AAACCCGGUGAUCUAGCCAUGGGCAGGUUGAAGGUUGGGUAACACUAACUGGAGGACCGAACCGACUAAUGUUGAAAAAUUAGCGGAUGACUUGUGGCUGGGGGUGAAAGGCCAAUCAAACCGGGAGAUAGCUGGUUCUCCCCGAAAGCUAUUUAGGUAGCGCCUCGUGAACUCAUCUUCGGGGGUAGAGCACUGUUUCGGCUAGGGGGUCAUCCCGACUUACCAAACCGAUGCAAACUCCGAAUACCGAAGAAUGUUAUCACGGGAGACACACGGCGGGUGCUAACGUCCGUCGUGAAGAGGGAAACAACCCAGACCGCCAGCUAAGGUCCCAAAGUCAUGGUUAAGUGGGAAACGAUGUGGGAAGGCACAGACAGCCAGGAUGUUGGCUUAGAAGCAGCCAUCAUUUAAAGAAAGCGUAAUAGCUCACUGGUCGAGUCGGCCUGCGCGGAAGAUGUAACGGGGCUAAACCAUGCACCGAAGCUGCGGCAGCGAACGUAUCACUUAAAACGCUUAACGUGACGGCAAAGCCGGCAUGUUCAAGCCACACUAAACGUUGAGUUGGCCGAUGUGCUGACAAACGAACAGGCGUUUUAAGGAUACGUUCGUUGGGUAGGGGAGCGUUCUGUAAGCC
RNAcentral lists this ribosomal RNA (634 nucleotides) under Yersinia enterocolitica. Its description in RNAcentral is "partial 23S ribosomal RNA". It matches the Rfam family "Bacterial large subunit ribosomal RNA", at positions 718 to 1249 of the family's 2925-position model. Lineage: Bacteria; Pseudomonadati; Pseudomonadota; Gammaproteobacteria; Enterobacterales; Yersiniaceae. The record is from RNAcentral.